This 20-nucleotide microRNA is filed under the name Corchorus capsularis. Its description in RNAcentral is "sRNA CCACVL1_01909". Lineage: Eukaryota; Viridiplantae; Streptophyta; Magnoliopsida; Malvales; Malvaceae. The record is from RNAcentral.
GAUUGUGUUUUUUUUUUUUU